GAACGCUGGCGGCAGGCCUAACACAUGCAAGUCGAGCGGUAGAGAGGUGCUUGCAUCUCUUGAGAGCGGCGGACGGGUGAGUAAUGCCUAGGAAUCUGCCUAGUGGUGGGGGAUAACGUUCGGAAACGGACGCUAAUACCGCAUACGUCCUACGGGAGAAAGCGGGGGAUCUUCGGACCUCGCGCCAUUAGAUGAGCCUAGGUCGGAUUAGCUAGUUGGUGAGGUAAUGGCUCACCAAGGCGACGAUCCGUAACUGGUCUGAGAGGAUGAUCAGUCACACUGGAACUGAGACACGGUCCAGACUCCUACGGGAGGCAGCAGUGGGGAAUUUUGGACAAUGGGCGCAAGCCUGAUCCAGCAAUGCCGCGUGCAGGAUGAAGGCCUUCGGGUUGUAAACUGCUUUUGUACGGAACGAAACGGUGAGCUCUAAUACAGUUUGCUAAUGACGGUACCGUAAGAAUAAGCACCGGCUAACUACGUG
RNAcentral lists this ribosomal RNA (481 nucleotides) under uncultured bacterium. RNAcentral's name for it is "bacterial SSU rRNA". It matches the Rfam family "Bacterial small subunit ribosomal RNA", at positions 31 to 507 of the family's 1533-position model. The record is from RNAcentral.